GUCUUCUCCUUGGUACCCUACUCCUCCUCUCCUCUCCUCUCUUCUCUCUGUCUUCCCAUGUCUCCAUUCGACUUGAACCACGCUGCUGAUAUCCCUCUGUCGGAGGGAGAUCAAGAUCGAACCAGUCACCCUCUCUUCACAGUAGUAGCUGCAAACGAGACCUCUUCAUUCUCAUGUCCCAUUUUCUUCAACGACCCUCAUGAUCAUGGAGCGGAUGGUGGACACGACUCCCUCCCAAAACAGUUACCGCAACAAGAGCCCAAGGAUCACUCGUUGAUGAUCGGUGAGUUAAACUAUCACUGGGUAUGUACUACAGAAGAAGAGGAUGAGAUGGGGAUCAUGAAGAAGAUGAUGAUGAGUUCUGAAGGUGGAAAACCAAGAGGAGACCAAAUACAAGCUGAGCAAGUCAGAGUCUGCUCUAACUGUAGCACAACGAAGACUCCUCUGUGGAGAAGCGGCCCUCACGGCCCCAAGUCCCUCUGUAAUGCUUGUGGAAUACGACAGCGGAAGGCGAGACGGGCAAUGGAAGCUGCUGCCAUGAACAGUGGGGUGAUCCCCUCCGAUGCCACAAGCGGGACACACAGAGAGAAGAAGCAAGACAUGCAUGACAGUCGCGUCCCGUUUAAGAAGAGGAAGCUGCUCUUUCGUGGCACCAACUCAGCUGCACUCCACGAGGUGUUCCCACAGGAUGAAAGAGACGCGGCUACAUUGUUGAUGGCUCUCUCUUGUGGCCUAAUCCGGAGUUGAGCACUGCAUUCUCUUGUGUUGUUCGAGUUCUCUUAGUUGGCCUAAUCCGGAGUUGAUUACUACUUAACACUGUCCAUUAAGCAUUUGCGCAUUGUAAGAUGUCUUUAAUCCUUAUGUUAGUGGGAAACCCUAGAAGACAAACUAUAAUGUCCAAACCAAGUUGCAGUCCGUACUAAACAACAUACUAACUUCACGGCCGAUGUGCCUCACGCUUUGUUCCCGAGCGAGACGAAGAGCUGAGGAUCCAAAACAUUCU
Molecule: RNA transcript, 1003 nt
Organism: Musa acuminata AAA Group (dessert banana)
Lineage: Eukaryota; Viridiplantae; Streptophyta; Magnoliopsida; Zingiberales; Musaceae
Gene name: putative GATA transcription factor 22
Exons: 4
Source: RefSeq, a predicted model, not a curated record